RNAcentral lists this unclassified non-coding RNA (669 nucleotides) under Hevea brasiliensis (rubber tree). The record is from RNAcentral. Lineage: Eukaryota; Viridiplantae; Streptophyta; Magnoliopsida; Malpighiales; Euphorbiaceae.
UGCAGAAGCAAUCCCUAGGAUUGUGUGAUUUGGUCACAACGAAUCAGAAAAACAGAGGAAAGGGGGAAGAAUAUAGAGAGGGACAGGGAGAGGGGACGAGAGAGAAUUUAGAGAGAGAGAAAUUGCAUUCAUUAAUCUUGAUUGGAUUCAAUUACAGCCCAAAGAGUUCUAUUUAUCUAGUAAUUCUCUUGACUAAUCUAGCAUACUGUGAUUCUUAGUCACAACACUGCAGUGCUCUCCUCUUGUACACACCUUUGAUGAAUUUCAACAUCUCUUAGGAGAAAGGAAUUUUCUUUCCUAAUUCUACUAGAGUGCAAAAUUUCCCUCUGAACAACAGUAGCACAUUUAAGUCAUGAGAGACCACAGUAGCAUGGAUAAUGUAAGAACUGCUAAUCAACCCCUCAAAGAACAUACUAUAGCAUGAAACAAGACAGACCAUCUAAGCCUUCAGCUGGAAUAAGCAGCACAUUUGAGCAGGAUUUUCUAGUAAGACAACUUCCCAGUAAACAAACCAAAAUGGCUUUAAUUGCCAGCAGUAUUCCUCUUCUCAUAUUUUGAAAUAACAAAUUAUACAGCCCACCUCAUAUUCAUUCUUCAGUCAAUAUGUGCUUAUAAGCUAAUGCAGAAUGGGAAGAUGAAGAUCUAAUACAAUUUAGAAAUUAUAUUCCA